ACAGGUGCUGCAUGGCUGUCGUCAGCUCGUGUCGUGAGAUGUUGGGUUAAGUCCCGCAACGAGCGCAACCCUUAUUCAUUAGUUGCUACGCAAGGGCACUCUAAUGAGACUGCCGGUGACAAACCGGAGGAAGGUGGGGAUGACGUCAAGUCCUCAUGGCCCUUAUGGGUAGGGCUUCACACGUCAUACAAUGGUCGGUACAGAGGGUUGCCAAGCCGCGAGGCGGAGCCAAUCCCACAAAGCCGAUCGUAGUCCGGAUUGGUUCUCUGCAACUCGAGAGCAUGAAGUCGGAAUCGCUAGUAAUCGCAGGUCAGCAUACUGCGGUGAAUACGUUCCCGGGUCUU
Molecule: ribosomal RNA, 344 nt
Filed under: uncultured Thiobacillus sp.
Lineage: Bacteria; Pseudomonadati; Pseudomonadota; Betaproteobacteria; Nitrosomonadales; Thiobacillaceae
Description: bacterial SSU rRNA
Rfam family: Bacterial small subunit ribosomal RNA
Source: RNAcentral